UUUCUCCCCCUUCCCCCGGGCGCAGAUGGAUCCAUUGCUACGGCGCAGACGGGCUCCCGCGGCGAGCGGCUCGCGCGGACGCGUGGCCGUUGCGACGCGCGGGAUGCAGCCGCGUUUUCCCCGGCAGCAGCCGGGGUGGAGGGGUAGGAGCUGCAAGGAGGGGGGUAGCCCGAAACUGAGAGCCCUGAAAUCUGGGCCUGGGCUGGAUGCUCCAGGCUGGAGGCAGGUCUGCGCCUGAGGGCUGACUCCUCCCUGAAAGGAAGCGUCCUCGUCCGAUGCUCUGCUGAUGGUGUGUGCUGCUGUUUGCCUGUUAGCUCUGUUUUAGGUUAUGCCGGAAAAAUGCACUUUUUUUUCUCCCCCCAUGGAUGUUUAUAUUUUCCCCCUCUUUCCUGCCGCGGUUAUAGCUGAACUUAGACCCCAGGCUGGAUGCGCGAGUGUGAUGUGCUCUGGAGCAGCCGGAAUCGAUCCGACGAUGCAAAGCCACCGCCGGGGCCGGGAGCCCCCCUCGCUUUAUGUAACGGUCUGAUAAUCCUCCGAGGUCCUGUUUGGUGUUUUUUAAAUAUGAAAACUGUGUAAUGGUGAUUAAUUUUGAGAGGAAAACUUACAUAACACUGCUGACAUGCAGGUGGAUUAUGGUUUUGGAUAUAAAAGCAGGUGAAGGGAAGCUCCCUGUACAGAAAUGAAGGGUGACAUCAGAAAGAUGAAAGAGCCGUGUGAAGAAACGGGUAGAAAUUUUAAUGCUUUGAGAUGAAAAUAUCCUGCACGGCUCCCAGCAUGAAGCCUGUGAGCUCCUUGGGGCGGUGCGCUGCCAACCACUAGGAAAAAGUGAUCUGAGUUUAAAAAAAAUUAACACAAAGAGAAAACUGCAGCUGGGAGAAGAAAUCAAAGAGCCCAGUGUAUGGAUGGAUUUUUCUCCCCUCUCGCGAAGCGCCGGCUCCGAGGCACUCUGUGCGCCGGGAAGGGGCCGAGAGCUGCCGCGGAGACGCGCGGGAGGCUUCAGGAAGGCAGCGGGUUCCCGGGACUGCGGCGGCUUUGCUGCAGCGGUCGCUGAAUCAGCCGCGUUACGAACCCCUCAAACAGGCUGACGGCGGUGGCGGCAUCUCGGGGCCGAGCCGCGGUGGCUGCUCGUAAUUGCUGGUUUGCAAAAAAGCGCAGUGGCAGGCUCUGAAAGGGAGGAGAAGCCUGUCCGGAGAGGGGAAAAAAGCGCUCAGCCAAAAACCCAAAGCAGCUUGCUGGUGUUGGGAGUGACUCAUCUAAUCAAGCUUGUCCAGAUGUCGGAGGAAAUAUUGAAACAUAUCUAAACACUCCUGCCUCCCAAGUGGCUCUUUAGAUCAAUCCAAAAUCUAAUUGUUCUGGCAAUAGAAGUUAACACAGCUGAGGGCAAAUGGUAGAAUAGCAGGAACUGGGAAGAGCUGAUGUAUUUGUCCUUGUUAAAAGCUGUAUUAGAAACUUCAGCCAAUAAAGAGAAUAAGCAAAGACCUGCUGAGGAAGGUCCAGCCUGGGGGGAGAGAAAAAGCCACCUGCAAACCCGAGCCGUUUGGGCGAGACGGGAGCGCCGGUGGCUCUGUCCCGCCGGGGAAGCCGCCGCGCCGCAGCCCUGCGCCGCGCCGACGCCAGGGGCUUUGCACGCGCCCGGCUCCGCCGUCCCGAGCGCGGCGCCGCGGGCGAGAGGGAUUCCGAGCGUCCCCGGCUUCUCAGUGGUGUUCGCAACUGAGCCCUGAGUAAGGUUUAUUUCCAGCAUGUAGUAGGUAUAAAUUUAAACUUUUUUUUUCCCCC
This is a long non-coding RNA of Rhea pennata, 1776 nucleotides long. RefSeq lists it as uncharacterized. The transcript has 2 exons. Lineage: Eukaryota; Metazoa; Chordata; Aves; Rheiformes; Rheidae. The record is from RefSeq and is a predicted model, not a curated record.